This 1944-nucleotide ribosomal RNA is filed under the name Triticum aestivum (bread wheat). RNAcentral describes it as "partial small subunit ribosomal RNA". The record is from RNAcentral. Lineage: Eukaryota; Viridiplantae; Streptophyta; Magnoliopsida; Poales; Poaceae.
GAAACAGGAGCAGCGGCUGAGAAAGAGACAUGUGGGUGCGUUCAAUCGAGAGAGAGAGAGGAGGUGGGGCGUAGGGGAAGGGGUGCGUGCGUUUGCCGAAUGGGGGCAGUGCUGGAGCGGCAGCGGAGCGGCGGUGGCGCGUGGCCCGUUGGUCCUUAGGCGCUGGCGGCGGGAAGCUUAGCGGCGCUCUACUACUGGAGGGCCGCCCGGUCGUCGCCGUCGUGGUCGUCGUCGACGCGCGAGACGCUCCCUAGGUUGGAGGGGAGGACGACGCGGCGCACGCAGUUGUGCUCCGACAAGCUCAUGGUGCGCUGCGACGCGGACUCCUCCUUGGAGGCGCUGUGGGAGGUCAGAGCGUAGCGGCGCGCGGAGCUCCGGUUCUCCUUUCGCCUCCUCGUCUCCUACACCUUUGACUCGUUUCGAGUGCUGUAGUUCCUCGACUCCCUAGCCGAGUCGCUCAAUUUCUCAGCUUGACGCAAUCUCUUCUACUUCUAGUUCGUCCGUAGCUCACUAGAGUUCCACUUUUCACCAUGUAACUUACACCGGAAAUAGUGCGAUUUUUGCUUCGUUUGGCUAAGUAGUUGCUACGUGUGGUUACGGUACUUUCGUCGUGUCUACCCAGAAUACCGUUGUUGGAGGCUUGCAGACUUUGCAGUCAGGUUUCGACAUUUCGUCGAAACGUCCAACAAGGGUUACUCCGCUCGAUAAUAUCUACCUCUUUUCUUCCUACCAGUGUCACUAGGCAUGCUACAAUAUACACCACAAGCAGAUGGAGCACCAGAGCUAGGUGUAAGUCAAGGUAGUCUCCUCAAUAGUCGAAGGAACCCCAUGUACAACGUUCAGGAGUCGUAACGUUAAGUAUAGGAUAGGCGUGGUCGGGAAGUACAUCGGCCAAAACCCCGAAGAACAAGUGCACAUACCGUCGCCUCAUCGAUGACCUCGUGUGCUGUUAGGGUCUCGUUCCAAAUGGGUGAAAAACACGGUUCCGUUUUAUUAACAAGACAACCUCUCCUUUUAAGUACCUGUCUUUCACCAAGCCCAUCGAAACCACAACUAAGACACCUGAGCCUAGUCUUUAGGGAAAAACUGAGGUUCUCUUCGUUAUCGAAGUUGAAGAGUCGGCGUAGAAGAGUGAGGUAACUCUCCGUAGUUCUGAACGUUUCUCCCUAUAGAAAUGAUUUUUGUUCACACAGACGGUAGUGACGGAUGAUGAUAUUGAGUAACCCGAACCUACACGGUGGGUUAGAAAGAUGAAAGCUACGUAAACGUUUCUACGAGGUAUACAACAGUAGAAGUUUCUGGGAAGCUCGACGAGAACUUAGUUUAUAGCGGAGUUCUAGUCUUUUCGUCCGUGUUGUCGAUUUGUCUAGUUAUACCUUCCGCUCAAGCCGGUAGAGUAGGUUGUCGUCAUACGACCUGUCGUGCGUGUGUCGAUAGUACGGCUCGAGAGAUCUAUUGGAGGAGGACUUGAGCUUGUGCUCAAAGAACAUGUGGCCAUUCGGCGGCUUCGUGCCACCUCGUGUUCUGUCGUAACAGCUGCCCACCCUAUACCAUCUCGCACUCUAGGACGGCGGCGGCGGCAGGGUCUAGCUCCUGUAGCGCGUCACCCUUUCUCGGGUGUGGAUGCGGGCGUCACCAAGAUUUUUCUUUACUGAACGUAUUACAUUCGAAAAUCUUGUGGCGUUCUUCGAAGUCGAUCUACCUAUCUACCUACCUACAGACUAGUAUACCAAAACCAAACACAUACAUAUCUUCUUUCGAUUGGUACCGGAUACUCAAUACGUCUUCUUCUCUUCCCGUAACAUCCCAUCUUGGCUAGUCGAGACGGGGGGACAUGUCGUGGACAUUAAACAUUUAUAUGGACAUAUGUAUCGUAAAUGACCGUUACUUAUUUAUACCAUGAUCGACUUUACAAUGACGAGAAAGGACAUAGUCUUUAACUUC